RNAcentral lists this ribosomal RNA (596 nucleotides) under uncultured bacterium. RNAcentral describes it as "bacterial SSU rRNA". It matches the Rfam family "Bacterial small subunit ribosomal RNA", at positions 112 to 704 of the family's 1533-position model. The record is from RNAcentral.
AAUACCUAGGAAUCUGCCUGGUAGUGGGGGACAACGUUUCGAAAGGAAUGCUAAUACCGCAUACGCCCUACGGGGGAAAGCAGGGGAUCUUCGGACCUUGCGCUAAUAGAUGAGCCUAAGUCGGAUUAGCUAGUUGGUGGGGUAAAGGCCUACCAAGGCGACGAUCUGUAGCGGGUCUGAGAGGAUGAUCCGCCACACUGGGACUGAGACACGGCCCAGACUCCUACGGGAGGCAGCAGUGGGGAAUAUUGGACAAUGGGCGAAAGCCUGAUCCAGCCAUGCCGCGUGUGUGAAGAAGGUCUUCGGAUUGUAAAGCACUUUAAGUUGGGAGGAAGGGCAGUAAGCGAAUACCUUGCUGUUUUGACGUUACCAACAGAAUAAGCACCGGCUAACUCUGUGCCAGCAGCCGCGGUAAUACAGAGGGUGCAAGCGUUAAUCGGAAUUACUGGGCGUAAAGCGCGCGUAGGUGGUUCGUUAAGUUGGAUGUGAAAUCCCCGGGCUCAACCUGGGAACUGCAUCCAAAACUGGCGAGCUAGAGUAGGGCAGAGGGUGGUGAAAUUUCCUGUGUAGCGGUGAAAUGCGUAGAUAUAGGAAGG